RNAcentral lists this transfer RNA (88 nucleotides) under Candidatus Yanofskybacteria bacterium RIFCSPLOWO2_02_FULL_45_10. RNAcentral's name for it is "tRNA-Ser". It matches the Rfam family "tRNA". From Rfam's summary of the family: Transfer RNA (tRNA) molecules are approximately 80 nucleotides in length. Their secondary structure includes four short double-helical elements and three loops (D, anti-codon, and T loops). Further hydrogen bonds mediate the characteristic L-shaped molecular structure. tRNAs have two regions of fundamental functional importance: the anti-codon, which is responsible for specific mRNA codon recognition, and the 3' end, to which the tRNAs corresponding amino acid is attached (by aminoacyl-tRNA synthetases). tRNAs cope with the degeneracy of the genetic code in two manners: having more than one tRNA (with a specific anti-codon) for a particular amino acid; and 'wobble' base-pairing, i.e. permitting non-standard base-pairing at the 3rd anti-codon position. Lineage: Bacteria; Candidatus Yanofskyibacteriota. The record is from RNAcentral.
GGAGGGGUCGCAUAGUGGUCUAGUGCACGUCGUUGGAAACGACGCAUACCGAAAGGUAUCGCGAGUUCAAAUCUCGCCCCCUCCGCAA